Molecule: ribosomal RNA, 144 nt
Filed under: Escherichia coli XH001
Lineage: Bacteria; Pseudomonadati; Pseudomonadota; Gammaproteobacteria; Enterobacterales; Enterobacteriaceae
Description: partial 23S ribosomal RNA
Rfam family: Bacterial large subunit ribosomal RNA
Source: RNAcentral
GAAACUUGCCCCGAGAUGAGUUCUCCCUGACUCCUUGAGAGUCCUGAAGGAACGUUGAAGACGACGACGUUGAUAGGCCGGGUGUGUAAGCGCAGCGAUGCGUUGAGCUAACCGGUACUAAUGAACCGUGAGGCUUAACCUUAC